AUUGAACGCUGGCGGCAUGCUUUACACAUGCAAGUCGAACGGCAGCGCGGGCUUCGGCCUGGCGGCGAGUGGCGAACGGGUAAGUAAUACAUCGGAACGUGCCCAGUAGUGGGGGAUAGCUCGGCGAAAGCCGGAUUAAUACCGCAUACGACCUGAGGGUGAAAGCGGGGGAUCUUCGGACCUCGCGCUAUUGGAGCGGCCGAUGGCAGAUUAGCUAGUUGGUGGGGUAAAGGCCUACCAAGGCGACGAUCUGUAGCUGGUCUGAGAGGACGACCAGCCACACUGGGACUGAGACACGGCCCAGAAUCCUACGGGAGGCAGCAGUGGGGAAUUUUGGACAAUGGGCGAAAGCCUGAUCCAGCAAUGCCGCGUGUGUGAUGAAGGCCUUCUGGUUGUAGAGCACUUUUGGCGGGAACGAAAAGGACUGUGCCAAUACCACGGUUCGAUGACGGUACCCGCAGAAUAAGCACCGGCUAACUACGUG
RNAcentral lists this ribosomal RNA (484 nucleotides) under uncultured bacterium. RNAcentral's name for it is "partial 16S ribosomal RNA". It matches the Rfam family "Bacterial small subunit ribosomal RNA", at positions 29 to 507 of the family's 1533-position model. The record is from RNAcentral.